Long non-coding RNA from Suricata suricatta (meerkat), 402 nucleotides. RefSeq lists it as uncharacterized. The transcript has 2 exons. The record is from RefSeq and is a predicted model, not a curated record. NCBI's taxonomy places the organism in Eukaryota, Metazoa, Chordata, Mammalia, Carnivora, Herpestidae.
ACGUGGAGCCUGAACUCACAACCCUGAGAUCAAGAGUUACAUGAUCCUCCGACUGAGCCAGCCAGGUGCCUCCAUUUACAGUUUUGAUGGACAUGGCCAAACUGCCCUCCACAGAGGCUCUCCAGAAGGUUAUGUCAAGUGUAAGUGAAUUGAAAGGAAGGAGAUAAGAAAGUAAUCAGCUAAAGACAAGACUACGUGGGAGUCCACCUGGCAGACAGGCUAGCCCCACCAGCCCCUGGGGUGGAAGUGGACAGCAGAGUGAUGCACCUUGGGCCAAACCAGCAACAUCCACCCAGCCCCAGGCCCCAGGAGCAAGGGGCAGAUGCCCCACCCUACCACUCCCUACUUCCCACCCCCAAGAGAGCAAAGGGCCAGAGUGGCAAUAAAGGAAGUCCUUCCCCA